GCUGUCGCUAUGGGGAUGGGCCCCGCGGUGCAUUAGCUAGUUGGUAAGGUAAAGGCGUUACCAAGGGCGAUGAUGCAUAGCCCGAGUUGAGAGACUGAUCGGCCACAUUGGGGACUGAGACACGGGCCCAAACUCCUACGGGAGGCAGCAGUAGGGAAUCUUCCACAAUGGGACGCAAGUCUGAUGGAGCAAACGCCGCGUGAGUGAAGAAGGUUUUCGGAUCGUAAAGCUCUGUUGUUGGUGAAGAAGGAUAGAGGUAGUAACUGGCCCUUUAUUUGACGGUAAUCAACCAGAAAGUCACGGGCUAACUACGUGCCAGCAGCCGCGGUAAAU
Molecule: ribosomal RNA, 333 nt
Filed under: uncultured Lactobacillus sp.
Lineage: Bacteria; Bacillati; Bacillota; Bacilli; Lactobacillales; Lactobacillaceae
Description: bacterial SSU rRNA
Rfam family: Bacterial small subunit ribosomal RNA
Source: RNAcentral